RNAcentral lists this ribosomal RNA (496 nucleotides) under uncultured bacterium. Its description in RNAcentral is "partial 16S ribosomal RNA". It matches the Rfam family "Bacterial small subunit ribosomal RNA", at positions 29 to 507 of the family's 1533-position model. The record is from RNAcentral.
AUGAACGCUGGCGGCGUGCCUAAUACAUGCAAGUCGAGCGAACAGACGAGGAGCUUGCUCCUCUGACGUUAGCGGCGGACGGGUGAGUAACACGUGGAUAACCUACCUAUAAGACUGGGAUAACUUCGGGAAACCGGAGCUAAUACCGGAUAAUAUAUUGAACCGCAUGGUUCAAUAGUGAAAGACGGUUUUGCUGUCACUUAUAGAUGGAUCCGCGCCGCAUUAGCUAGUUGGUAAGGUAACGGCUUACCAAGGCGACGAUGCGUAGCCGACCUGAGAGGGUGAUCGGCCACACUGGAACUGAGACACGGUCCAGACUCCUACGGGAGGCAGCAGUAGGGGAUCUUCCGCAAUGGGCGAAAGCCUGACGGAGCAACGCCGCGUGAGUGAUGAAGGUCUUCGGAUCGUAAAACUCUGUUAUUAGGGAAGAACAAAUGUGUAAGUAACUAUGCACGUCUUGACGGUACCUAAUCAGAAAGCCACGGCUAACUACGUG